AGCUAGACAUCACGGAGCAAAUCCCAACUCUGCCACUUAGCAGCUAGAAGACCUUGACCAAGAUUCUCAAACACUAUGCUGGUGUUACACAGUCCUUUCAAACCUAAAAAUCAAUGUAAUAAUUUGAAAUAACAUGGUGAAGAAAUGAAAUAUAUUAGAUGCUAAUACUGAAAAGUUCCAUGGGGGCUUCCCUGGUGGCGCAGUGGUUAAGAAGCCGCCUGCCAACGCAGGGGACACGGGUUCAAGUCCUGGUUUGGGAAGAUCCCACAUGCUGAAGAGCAACUAAACCCAUGCGCCACAAUUACUGAGCCUGCGUGCCACAACUACUGAAGCCUGCAUGCCUAGAGCCCAUCCUCCGCAACAAGAGAAGCCACCACAAUGAGAAGCCUGCGCACUGCAAUGAAGAGUAGCCCCUUCUCGCUGCAACUAGAGAAAGUCCGUGUGCAGCAAUGAAGACCCAACACAGCCCCCCCAAAAAAAGUUUCAUAUCAAAGAAGUAGAAAUGAAGAACUAGUAAUUACCAGAUGGCCAGAUCUCUUCCCUAGCAUCGCCUUCAGUAAUCUCGUGAGCAAACUGUAUGAACAAAACAGCAUCUAAGGGAAGAUCACGAGUUGACAAGCCUGCGAGCGUACAGUGGGGGAUGAAGAGGACUUUGACCCCUUAUCCCAAUGAUUAACUGAGAUUACUUCCCUGUUUCCCUUUAAAAGCUUUCAAGGCUGAGCAGAUUCUUUGGAGGUGGUUUUUGGGAGAUACUGAAUCCACCCCUUCCCAGAUUGCUGGCAUUGUGAUUAAAGGCAACUUUCCUUUCUA
Molecule: long non-coding RNA, 810 nt
Organism: Globicephala melas (long-finned pilot whale)
Lineage: Eukaryota; Metazoa; Chordata; Mammalia; Artiodactyla; Delphinidae
Source: RefSeq, a predicted model, not a curated record